UGCCUAUUUACAUUAUUAUA
RNAcentral lists this microRNA (20 nucleotides) under Bombyx mori nucleopolyhedrovirus. Its description in RNAcentral is "partial bmn-miR-420". Lineage: Naldaviricetes; Lefavirales; Baculoviridae. The record is from RNAcentral.